This 383-nucleotide transfer-messenger RNA is filed under the name Microthrixaceae. Its description in RNAcentral is "SXMI01 sp016870275 Standard tmRNA". It matches the Rfam family "transfer-messenger RNA". Rfam says of the family: Bacterial tmRNA, also known as 10Sa RNA or SsrA, is named for its dual tRNA and mRNA-like properties. The record is from RNAcentral. Lineage: Bacteria; Bacillati; Actinomycetota; Acidimicrobiia; Acidimicrobiales. RNAcentral also lists the same sequence under 1 other name.
GGGGCUGACUGGUUUCGACGUCGGGAUCUGGAAGUCGAGCGUGCGACCCGAGUUGUCUCAGACUCGCUAAACGGGGACACCAACAGAACCGCCAACGAGCAGUUCGCUCUCGCCGCCUGAUCCUUCAGGAGGUACGAGAGUCACCGUGACCAGCAAUGGCGCACGGGGCCGGACCCCCACAGCCCGGCAACAGAAGUGGGGGUGGACCGCAGGGAGAGACCGCUGACGGCGUGAAAGACCGCUGACGCCGGGGAAAGACCCGGCAGCUGACCUCGGUCAGCCGACCCGCCGGUGCCACGGCUGUGAGUGGCAGAGCGGGAAUGGUCGUAUCGGGUUCGGUGACCACCAGGCGGACGGGGGUUCGAUUCCCCCCAGCUCCACCG